UGAUGUGCUUCCUACCUGUGAAGAAGGAUUGGGGGUUGAAAAAGCCUGCUACCCAGAUGAGGAGGCGAGGGAGGGAGCCCUGCGGCCCGUGCUGCUCUCUCACCCAGGCAGGGAAGGAUCAGUGUACCCAGACCACAAAAGCAAACAAGAAAAAAGACUGAGGACACACAACCAGGGGGAUUCCUGGAGCCGUCGGAGCAGGAUCAAGAUUAGAGCAUUCUUUUCCCCAAAGGAGGAAAGUCUUCUGCAAGAACUGCAAAUCAAACAUUUGUACUCAGAGCCCUCGCAGAAGUCAAAUACUUCGAUGUUUAGAGUCUGUGGAGUCAGCUCUGCGUGACCCGUGACCUCUAUUUCUCCACACUCAAGAGCAGCAUGUUAUUCUGGAUAUGAGUCAUUGUCAUUGGGAGUGGAGUGUACAUCAUUGGUAUUCCUGCUAGGUAUGACACAGCUUUUUCCCACCUAUACUUCCAGAAGAUCACAAGCUCUUAUUUUCUGAGAAUUUUCAUCUGGAGGCAAAGCAUUCACCAGUGGGUUGACUGAGCUUUGUAACCAAAAUGGCUGAACAAAUGAGAUGUGGGAAUUCUAAACUGGCUUAUCACUUCAAAAUGCAUAAGCCAGGGAGUGCUGGGGAGGGGAGAAGAGGGAAGAAGCAGGAAGAGAGCAGACACAGGGUGGAGACUCACCAGUCCUGCCAGGUGGGGCUUUGUCUGGUCCGGACUGUCUCUGGUACGAGAGGGCACAUGCACAUUCUCACGCAGCUCCACUCUCCCUGGCCUUCAAGCCUGCUGCCCCCGAGCUCCUUUUACAGUGCCUGGUCUGAGUGUGGCUGAAAGAGCCAUCUGCAGAGCCUGCUCCAUGCACAUGGUCAGCUCUUUGUGGAAGCUGCUUACUGGGGGGACUUUAGAACUCAGCCUUUUUGUCCCACGGACCGCAUACUUCUGUGGGUUUUUUCCCCCUAAAUUGAACCACUCCUGUCCCUAAUUGUGUCACUCCUGCUGUCACCUCUAGCCAUCAGAGCCAGUGGCAUGGUUCUGAUUGUGUUGCAAUGCGUCCUUGAAGCAUUCUUUUUGUUUGUGUUCAAUGGCUCUCCUUCAGCUCACAACACAGUGGUGGCAAUGAUUUCCUAGGGUCACCCAUUCUCCUCUGAGGACCAGCCCAGAAAAGCUCAGUCGUAAUGAACAGGGCUUCAGACGGAUGGACACACACGGGCUUGAGAGCGCUCCUGGCUUUGGCCACUCUAACAAGAUUUUGUCAUUUGUGGCUUUUGCACAUUGGAAAAACUUUCAUCUCUGAGUUUCUAUGGGCUAUAAAUACUUGGUAGGUUAAAAAGGAAUCAUUCAGAACAUGAAAUAAACAUAACCUGGCACGUACACAGCAACACACCUCAACGGAGCCCUUCAACUUCUAGGCCAGAGCUGCAGGAAUCGGAGCCGGGGCUUCCUUCAUCCCGUCUCGCAUUCACUUCCCUCCCGGGCUGGGCACUGCUCUGGUUUCUGACCUCUUUUGGUUGGAUAUUUUCCUAAUGAGGCAGGAGGAUGAGGUCUCCAUGUUCCUUAUGCCUUUUAACCACAGAGUGAAAACUGUUGAUUUUGUUGGCAUUGGGGAAAAUCUUUAGAAUGUAUGGAAAACAUGUUAUGGAUAUUAUAUAUCUACCAUAAACCAAGAAAAGAGUCUGGCAGAGGGAAAUUCUAUGUUGAUUCUGAAAAGUCACCAUGAUCCUGGUCUUCAUGGCUUUAUUUUUUUUCUGAACAAUUGCUUUAUUCUUUUUUUCAGAAUAUAAAAGAAAGACUAAGAAAAAGAAAAACCAAUCAUGUUUUUCAAAGAUAGCAUUCUUAACAUCUUGGUCCUGUGCUUUUUUUAAAAAAAAAAUUGAGGUACAUGUACAUAAAGAAAGAUGCAUAAAUCAUAAGUGAACAUCUCAACAUUUUAGAAAUCCUAAAAAUUAUGUAUACCCAUGUCACCACCACCUAGAUCAAAACAUUUCGUGUACUCUAGCAAACUCUGUUGUGUCCGUUCUUAGAAAUAUCCACUCAGAAGUCUCUCCACCAUGGCCUGCCAUGGUGGCUUAUGCCCAUAAUCCUAGCACUUUGGGAGGCUGAGGCGAGAGGAUCACUUGAGCUUAGGAGUUCGAGACCAGGCUGGGAAACAUAGUGAAAUGUUUCUACCAAAAAUACAAAAAUUAGCCAGAUGUGGUGAUGCUUGCCUGUCAUCCCAGCUACUCAGGAGGCUGAGGUGCAGGGAUGGCUGGAGCCUGGGAGGUUGAGGCUGCAGUGAGCUGAAAUUGUGCCACUGCACUCCAGCCUGGGCAACAUAGCGAGACCCUGUUUCAAACAAACAAACAAGCAAACAAACAAAAAAGCAGAAACAACAAGAACAACAAAAGAAGUCUCUCCCCUAGAGGGAAUCACGUUCUGAUUUCAGGCUUAUCCUUUCGUCACCGGUCGAGGGUGUCCGGGUUCUUGGCGUCUUGAACAAAGAGUUGAACAAAUCACACAAAGCAAGGAAGGAAUGAAGAGGUUUACUGAAAAUGAAAAUACACUCCACAGUGUGUGGAGCGGACCCAAGCCUAGGGGCUCAAGGGCCCCGUUACAGAAUUUUGGGGAGUUUAAAUACCCUCUAGAGGAUUCCAUUGGCUACUUGGGGUACACCCUAUGUAAAUGAGGAGGAUGAAGUAAAGUUACAAAGUUGUUUAUUAUGGAGAGGAUAUUUGCUGUCAUAGCUGAAGGGUGAAUCAGCCUUAUGUUCCCUGCCUCCAGACCCUGUUUUCAUGCCUCACUUAUAUAUAUAUAUAGCUAUAUAUAAUAUUUGCAUACAUUGUUCUCUCUAUAUUUAACUUUUAUACUUUAUUUUAUGUAUAUCACACAUUUCAACAAAAACGGAUCA
This is a long non-coding RNA of Symphalangus syndactylus (siamang), 2883 nucleotides long. RefSeq lists it as uncharacterized. The record is from RefSeq and is a predicted model, not a curated record. NCBI's taxonomy places the organism in Eukaryota, Metazoa, Chordata, Mammalia, Primates, Hylobatidae.